GGGGGGUUGGCGCAAUGGUAGCGCGUGUCUCUCCUAUCAGUCAGACACAAAAGACAAGGUUGAGGUACGCAGCAUACCUUUUGAAAUUUCGAUUACAUCCAUAUUCAUAUGUCCUAGGGUUCGAGUCCCUUGCUCCUCG
This 139-nucleotide transfer RNA is filed under the name Imshaugia aleurites. Its description in RNAcentral is "tRNA-Arg". It matches the Rfam family "tRNA". From Rfam's summary of the family: Transfer RNA (tRNA) molecules are approximately 80 nucleotides in length. Their secondary structure includes four short double-helical elements and three loops (D, anti-codon, and T loops). Lineage: Eukaryota; Fungi; Ascomycota; Lecanoromycetes; Lecanorales; Parmeliaceae. The record is from RNAcentral.